Carassius carassius (crucian carp) is the source of this 373-nucleotide long non-coding RNA. RefSeq lists it as uncharacterized. Lineage: Eukaryota; Metazoa; Chordata; Actinopteri; Cypriniformes; Cyprinidae. The record is from RefSeq and is a predicted model, not a curated record. The transcript has 3 exons.
CUCUGAUACUAUGAUUGACUUUCAUAAGCUUUUUAGAUCUCUGAGACUGAAGGAAUUCUUUGGUACAACUGAAAUAUCUACUCUCUCUGAUGAUGCUCCUUCUCGCAGUGUCAAUUCUAAUUCAUCCAGUCAUCGUCUUCCUUUUAAAAAGAAGUUGAACUUUAUUCCACCUCUUAACAGGAAUGCAUCUUUAAACACUUUCUGCAGGUUAGUUGAAGCUGAUGUUAAGACUUUGUUAAACAAACAAAGAUAACCCUGUGAAGCAUUUAAUAACUUUUAGAAAGCGGAGAGGAAUGCUUUCAUUUAUUUUAAAAGAGAUUCUGAUGUGGUUUUGUUCCCUGCUUUGGGCUAUAGUGCUUCAACAAGCUACAGA